This 292-nucleotide unclassified non-coding RNA is filed under the name Hevea brasiliensis (rubber tree). Lineage: Eukaryota; Viridiplantae; Streptophyta; Magnoliopsida; Malpighiales; Euphorbiaceae. The record is from RNAcentral.
AUCUGACUGAUCAGAAUUCUUUUUGAAAGCACAAGUAAAAUCAGUAUUAUACUCUGCUUUAAAGUCAAUCAUGCUAUGAAACUUCAACAUUUGAAUCAAACAAGAAAUCAUCAGCUCAUCAUGGCUCACGCAUGAUUCAAUCUUCCAAAGGAAGAAAGAACAAGAAGACAUUUUUAAGCAGCAUGUUCUUUCCUUCCUGUCAGACAUGCUUGCAUAUCAGUUAAACGAGCUAUUCUACUAAGACUUCAUUCGACUAGGUAACAAUACACUGUAUAUCAGUUAUCGUCAGGUG